GUGUGAUAAGGGGAUCCUAAGUGCUCAUGCAAUGCAUGGGCUUUUGCCAAGAGUAAAUAUCUUGGAGAAUAAGUGGUGGGUAAGACUGGUGCCAGCCGCCGCGGUAACACCAGCGCCACAAGUGGCAACCACGUUUAUUGGGCCUAAAGCGUCCGUAGCCUGUUAGGCAAAUCUCUUGUGAAAUCGUCAAGCUCAACUUGACGGCGUGCUUGAGACACUACCUGACUUGAGACCGGGAGGAGUCAGAGGUAUUCCAGGGGGAGCGGUAAAAUGUGAUAAUCCCUGGAGGAUCACCUAUGGCGAAGGCAUCUGACCAGAACGGAUCUGACGGUGAGGGACGAAGGCUAGGGGAGCGAUCCGGAUUAGAUACCCGAGUAGUCCUAGCAGUAAACGCUGCGAGCAAGGUGUUGCGCAUCUCAUGAGGAUGUGCAGUGUCGAAGAGAAGUCGUUAAGCUCGCCGCCUGGGAAGUACGGUC
RNAcentral lists this ribosomal RNA (476 nucleotides) under uncultured archaeon. RNAcentral's name for it is "bacterial SSU rRNA". It matches the Rfam family "Archaeal small subunit ribosomal RNA", at positions 365 to 842 of the family's 1478-position model. The record is from RNAcentral.